AACGAACGCUGGCGGCAUGCCUAACACAUGCCAGUCGAACGAUGCCUUCGGGCAUAGUGGCGCACGGGUGAGUAACGCGUGGGAACCUGCCCUGUGGUACGGAAUAACUCCGGGAAACUGGAGCUAAUACCGUAUGUGUCCCCUUGGACAAAGAUUUAUCGCCACGGGAUGGGCCCGCGUAGGAUUAGCUUGUUGGUGGGGUAACGGCCUACCAAGGCUACGAUCCUUAGCUGGUCUGAGAGGAUGAUCAGCCACACUGGGACUGAGACACGGCCCAGACUCCUACGGGAGGCAGCAGUGGGGAAUAUUGGACAAUGGGCGCAAGCCUGAUCCAGCAAUGCCGCGUGAGUGAUGAAGGCCUUCGGGUUGUAAAGCUCUUUCGCACGCGACGAUGAUGACGGUAGCGUGAGAAGAAGCCCCGGCUAACUUCGUG
This 433-nucleotide ribosomal RNA is filed under the name uncultured bacterium. RNAcentral's name for it is "partial 16S ribosomal RNA". It matches the Rfam family "Bacterial small subunit ribosomal RNA", at positions 29 to 507 of the family's 1533-position model. The record is from RNAcentral.